This 644-nucleotide long non-coding RNA is filed under the name Ananas comosus (pineapple). RNAcentral describes it as "long non-coding RNA (ACOM_LNC017967)". The record is from RNAcentral. Lineage: Eukaryota; Viridiplantae; Streptophyta; Magnoliopsida; Poales; Bromeliaceae.
UAACAUGUUGAGAGAGGCUACUAUGCUUCUAGAAGCACGGAGCCUCUCGUACUUUCAGGUCGUUUUUGAUGUUGCGACUUUCGAAUCGUCAAUCGGCUCCGUUAAACUUGAUCUAGAGUAUUUGAAGUACCUAAAAAAUAAAUUUUGAUAUUUUUUAAUAUCAUUUGCCUAGUGAACUAAGGAGCUCAAAAUCAACAGCUGAAAAUAAAAAUCUUACAAAACGUGAUAAUAUGACAUUAAAAUUUUAGAUCAAAUAUAUUGAUCUUGUUUUAUAUUGCAUAAAAAUUUUUCUAUCAAAAUUUUACGUGAUUUGGAUAUUUCUACACCGUUAAACUUGCAAACGGCUUACCACGGCCAUUAAAAUGAUUGAUUUUGAGUCCCUUCGAUCACUAGGCAAAUGAUAUCGAAAAAUCAUAAAAUUUAUUUUCUAAGUACUUCAAAUACUCUAGAUCAAGUUUAACAGAGCCGAUCGACGAUUCGAAAGUUGCAACAUCGAAAACGAUCUGGAAGUACGGAAGGCUCCGUGAUCAAGUUUAACGGAGCCGAUAGACGAUUCGAAAGUCGCAACAUCGAAAACGAUCUGGAAGUACGGAAGGCUCUGUGCUUCCAGAAGCAUAGUAGCCUCACUCUAACAUGUUUCAUAU